This 2473-nucleotide unclassified non-coding RNA is filed under the name Hevea brasiliensis (rubber tree). Lineage: Eukaryota; Viridiplantae; Streptophyta; Magnoliopsida; Malpighiales; Euphorbiaceae. The record is from RNAcentral.
CAUCCUCGGCUGGCGCCAAGCCGCAGCAGCCGCCCAAAGAAUCUCAAAUACGCAUAACAACAUCCUCCCCUCACCACGUGUCCAUUCCUUCACCGUCCAAAUUCCUUGGGGCUACUUCUCAUCCAACCGUCCUUGAACCUCCACGUCCGUCCACUGUUAUCGACAAAUAAACGGCCUAUGAUAAACCACGUGUCAUACAUGAUAUCAUAUUAACUCUCCAAUCCGACGGACCUCAACACCUCUUCCUCCUCCUCUCUCCACACAGUCACACACCCAUCUCUCUCUUUCCCUCCCGCAGUCUUCUUCUGCAAUUUGCCGGCGAUUUUCUUCGUUUCCCAAUUUACCCCUUCCCCACCCUCUUAUACCCCUUACAUCCUCUAAAACCACUGGUGAAAGUUUGAGAUUUUUGAGAUCUAACUAGGUUUUAUUUUUCUUGAAUUUUGAUUUUAAUGGCGGAUUCAGACAAUGAAUCAGGUGGGCACAACAACAGCAACACGAACAGCGAGCUGUCGGCUCGCGAACAGGAUAGGUUCUUACCCAUCGCUAACGUUAGCAGAAUAAUGAAGAAAGCUCUGCCAGCAAACGCUAAGAUCUCCAAAGAUGCCAAAGAGACGGUGCAGGAGUGCGUGUCUGAAUUCAUCAGCUUUAUUACCGGAGAGGCUUCCGACAAGUGCCAGCGCGAAAAGAGGAAGACGAUCAACGGCGACGAUCUGCUUUGGGCCAUGACUACGCUAGGGUUCGAGGAGUACGUGGAGCCCUUGAAGAUUUAUUUGCAGAAGUAUAGGGAGAUGGAAGGAGAGAAGAGCUCCAUGGGCAGGCAAGGAGAAAAGGAUGGUGCUGGUGGGUCUGGUGGAGGUGGUGCCGCUGCUAGUGGAGGUGGGUCUGGUGGAGGGGUGAGUUCAGGCGGUGUUGGUGGAGCAGGAGGAGGGUUUAAUGGCGGUGGUCAAGGUAUGUAUGGAGGGAUGAUGAUGAUGGGGCAUCAUCAAGGGCACGUGUACGGCGCCGGUGGGUAUCAUCAUCAGAUGGGUGUUGGAAAAGGUGGCUCCGGCAACUCGAGGUAGGUGUUAACGACGAGGGUCGUUUUGGGUUUAGUAUUUACUAUAUUCUUAUUCCUUAUUACGAAGAGAUUAAUUAACUUGGUUGGGUCUUCUUUUAGUUUUCUUGAUGAUGGGGAAACAUUGAAGGGAUCAAAUAAUUACUAUAAUAUUGCUUAGUGCUAAGUAUGUACGUAACAUAGAGAGAGUGCUAAUUGAGAGGGGAAUUGUAGAAGGAAGAACUUCAAAAACUAUUUGUAUGAUAAGCAUUAAUGAAAAGAAAAAAAGAAGUUUGUUUCUUUGCCUUGUUGUUUUGUUUCUUGAUAUGGAAUCCAUGAGAGUUGGGGAAAUAUGGGAAUAGUUGAAGUGACACGCUUUGAGUUUUCUGACACUUGGUAAAGAAAAAGAAUGAAAAUUAAAAGAAGUCUUUGUUUAUUUGGGCAAUGGACACGUUUCUCUUUGAGGAAAGUUUAGGAAUUUGGGUCCUAAGCUUGCCAUUUGUCACUUGUCUAUGUUUUGAAGCCCAGUACUAAGAAUAGAAGAUAGUUCCAUUGACUUCUAAAUCCAGAAAAUUUUUCAUAGAUUUCACCAACGUAUCUUUCUGGUAAACUCCAUUUCUAGGUCACCAGCAGCUAGUUUGGGAAAAAAAUUUUUUUUUUCUUCUUUCUGGAGCUUGUUAUGUGAUAUAUUAAUUAAGAUGCAGCAAGAUCAUUUCGGAAGUGCGCCAUCACCUUGUUGAUCAAUUGUCAACUUUCUCAAGUUCUUGCACGUCAUUCUUGUCUCCCAUUCUGUGCCCACCUGCAUUGUUUUCCUCUUUUUUGUUGGAGAUCAAGUGUCUUUUGCUAUGAAAAGAAGUGUUGGAUAUAUCCUUGUAGGCUUAAGAGCACCAUUCCAGAGAUUUUCCAAAGGACACUUUUAAAACUUAGACAAUGAUUGCUACUGCUCUAUCCGUGUGGUUGCAGUUUCUUCUGAUCAAGAUAAAAAAAGUUAAAAAUCUUUUACACUGCUCCAUUUCUUUCCUGGGUUGAUCUUCGGUUCUUCAAUCUUGACCCAAGGAUUAAGAAAUGUAGAAAAAUAAAUUAACGAUGAGAAAAAGAGUUCCAGUUGGGACCUACCAAGCGCGCCACAGUACAAGCAAAGGACCAGUCAUUUUGACUAGGUGUGGGCUGGCGGAAGACUUUGUCAAAGGCCGAGAAGAAAAGUGAUUAAAAAAGUAAUUAAAAGAGAGUGGGUGUCGUUUUCAAUAGAUAAUGCUCUAUUUAAUCAAGUGUUUAGUGGAUGGGUCCUUUUCUCUUGGGCUAUAAUCAGAGAGAAAAGAGAGCACAUCACCUUCCGCAGAAGCUGCUCUCUCUCUCACUGAUAUAUAGAAAACACCUGAAAUUUCUUUUAAGCACUUAGUUGUAAAAAUUAAUUUAUAUAUUCAGUCAAUUAGAAAUUAU